RNAcentral lists this ribosomal RNA (497 nucleotides) under uncultured bacterium. Its description in RNAcentral is "partial 16S ribosomal RNA". It matches the Rfam family "Bacterial small subunit ribosomal RNA", at positions 28 to 507 of the family's 1533-position model. The record is from RNAcentral.
GAUGAACGCUGGCGGCGUGCCUAAUACAUGCAAGUCGAGCGGACAGACGAGGAGCUUGCUUCUCGGAUGUUAGCGGCGGACGUGUGAGUAACACGUGUAUAACCUACCUAUAAUACUGGUAUAACUUCGGGAAACCGUAGCUAAUACCGGAUAAUAUUUUGAACCACAUUGUUCAAAAGUGAAAUACGGUCUUGCUGUCACUUAUAGAUGGAUCCGCGCUUCAUUAGCUAGUUGGUAAGGUAACGGUUUACAAAGGCAACGAUGCAUAGCCGACCUGAGAGGGUGAUCGGCCACACUGGAACUGAGACACGGACAAGACUACUACGGGAGGCAGCAGUAGGGAAUCUUCCGCAAUGGGCGAAAGCAUGACGGAGUAACGCAGAGUGAGUGAUGAAGGUCUUAGGAGCGUAAAAAUCUGCUAUUAGGGAAGAACAUAUGUGUAAGUAACUGUGCACAUCUUGACGGUAACUAAUAAGAAAGCCACGGCUAACUACGUG